UACGUAGGGUGCGAGCGUUAAUCGGAAUUACUGGGCGUAAAGCGUGCGCAGGCGGUUUUGUAAGUCUGACGUGAAAUCCCCGGGCUCAACCUGGGAAUGGCGUUGGAGACUGCAAGGCUGGAAUCUGGCAGAGGGGGGUAGAACUCCACGUGUAGCAGUGAAAUGCGUAGAGAUGUGGAGGAACACCGAUGGCGAAGGCAGCCCCCUGGGUCAAGAUUGACGCUCAUGCACGAAAGCGUGGGGAGCAAACAGG
This 253-nucleotide ribosomal RNA is filed under the name uncultured bacterium. RNAcentral's name for it is "partial 16S ribosomal RNA". It matches the Rfam family "Bacterial small subunit ribosomal RNA", at positions 524 to 776 of the family's 1533-position model. The record is from RNAcentral.